AAGCCCAUACGUGUUACGUACAUAUUGGUUGGCCGAAGAAAAAAUAGAAGUAGGAAAAAAAAGUUAAGGCGACGGAUCAAUUUUUUUCUUUUUUGCCUAUCGCUCUCUUUCUCUCUCGAUCGAAGUCCAGAAUUGACAAAGGAAGGAGAAGGAAUCAAACGCUAUGGAAUCAGAGGAGAUUGGGAUCGGAGGGGUUCUGAAGCGGAGGAGAUUUCUCUUCUUCUUCUUCUUCUCUCAAAUCUGCGGUAGAAGAAGCAUGGCUACGAAGCAGAACGAAAGCCUAAUUCUCCAUUAUAUUUGUGGACAGCUUAUCACAGUUCCCCCAUCCAUGUGGUCUCCAUAACCCUUUCAUAAACUCGAUUUUGCUUGUCUUAUUCUUGGUUUUAAAUAUGUUGGACAGAGAAAAGGGAGAAUUGCAGGGAAGCUUCAUUUCAGGUAAUAUUUAUCUUUGAGGGUCACUUUAGUCAUGAAACUAAUGCUUAUCUUCUGUUUGUUAUCCACCUCUAGCAUGUGAAGUUAUAUGGUGAACUGACACCUUCAAGCAAAGCAGAUAUAAAGGUUAUGGUUGAUGCUUUUAUCGAUGAGGGAGAUGUCUCAAGGAGACAAGGACACGCUUCGCUUCUUCUCUGUGGUAACAUCUUCAAGGGUUAUGUUCUUCCUCUGAACUCUUCUUUUAUUUACUCCCUGAUUUUCCUAAUUACAUGUGAUUUACUUGUUUCUCUGUUAUUUCAGGUUAUGGUUGAUCUUUUUAUCGAUGAGGGUGAUGUCUCAAGGAGACAAGGACACGCUUUGCUUCUUCUAACGUCUUCAAGGGUUUUGUUUUUCCUCCUAACUCUUCUUUUACACUCUGUGUUUGUUCUUUCUUAUGUUUUUUCCCUUGUUAAGAGACUCAAAAUUAAAAUCCACCGUUGGAGGGAAAAAAUUAUCUAAGAUUCCCAAAGUUCUUAUUCUA
Camelina sativa (false flax) is the source of this 952-nucleotide non-coding RNA. The record is from RefSeq and is a predicted model, not a curated record. NCBI's taxonomy places the organism in Eukaryota, Viridiplantae, Streptophyta, Magnoliopsida, Brassicales, Brassicaceae.